AGAGUUUGAUCCUGGCUCAGGACGAACGCUGGCGGCACGCUUAACACAUGCAAGUCGAACGAGAGAAGAGGAGCUUGCUUUUCUGAUCUAGUGGCGGACGGGUGAGUAACACGUGAGCAAUCUGCCUUUCAGAGGGGGAUACCGAUUGGAAACGAUCGUUAAUACCGCAUAACAUAAUUGAACCGCAUGAUUUGAUUAUCAAAGAUUUAUCGCUGAAAGAUGAGCUCGCGUCUGAUUAGCUAGUUGGUAAGGUAACGGCUUACCAAGGCGACGAUCAGUAGCCGGACUGAGAGGUUGAUCGGCCACAUUGGGACUGAGACACGGCCCAGACUCCUACGGGAGGCAGCAGUGGGGAAUAUUGCACAAUGGAGGAAACUCUGAUGCAGCGAUGCCGCGUGAGGGAAGAAGGUUUUAGGAUUGUAAACCUCUGUCUUCAGGGACGAAAAAAGACGGUACCUGAGGAGGAAGCUCCGGCUAACUACGUGCCAGCAGCCGCGGUAAUACGUAGGGAGCGAGCGUUGUCCGGAAUUACUGGGUGUAAAGGGAGCGUAGGCGGGAUCGCAAGUCAGAUGUGAAAACUAUGGGCUUAACCCAUAAACUGCAUUUGAAACUGUGGUUCUUGAGUGAAGUAGAGGUAAGCGGAAUUCCUAGUGUAGCGGUGAAAUGCGUAGAUAUUAGGAGGAACAUCAGUGGCGAAGGCGGCUUACUGGGCUUUAACUGACGCUGAGGCUCGAAAGCGUGGGGAGCAAACAGGAUUAGAUACCCUGGUAGUCCACGCCGUAAACGAUGAUUACUAGGUGUGGGGGGACUGACCCCUUCCGUGCCGCAGCAAACGCAAUAAGUAAUCCACCUGGGGAGUACGACCGCAAGGUUGAAACUCAAAGGAAUUGACGGGGGCCCGCACAAGCAGUGGAGUAUGUGGAUUAAUUCGAAGCAACGCGAAGAACCUUACCAGGUCUUGACAUCGUAUGCAUAGCUCAGAGAUGAGUGAAAUCUCUUCGGAGACAUAUAGACAGGUGGUGCAUGGUUGUCGUCAGCUCGUGUCGUGAGAUGUUGGGUUAAGUCCCGCAACGAGCACAACCCUUACUGUUAGUUGCUACGCAAGAGCACUCUAGCAGGACUGCCGUUGACAAAACGGAGGAAGGUGGGGAUGACGUCAAAUCAUCAUGCCCCUUAUGACCUGGGCCUCACACGUACUACAAUGGCUGUCAACAGAGGGAAGCAAAGCCGCGAGGUGGAGCGAACCCCUAAAAGCAGUCUUAGUUCGGAUUGUAGGCUGCAACCCGCCUACAUGAAGUCGGAAUUGCUAGUAAUCGCAGAUCAGCAUGCUGCGGUGAAUACGUUCCCGGGCCUUGUACACACCGCCCGUCACGCCAUGGGAGUCGGUAACACCCGAAGCCUGUAGUCUAACCGCAAGGAGGACGCAGUCGAAGGUGGGAUUGAUGACUGGGGUGAAGUCGUAACAAGGUA
Molecule: ribosomal RNA, 1470 nt
Filed under: metagenome
Description: bacterial SSU rRNA
Rfam family: Bacterial small subunit ribosomal RNA
Source: RNAcentral